RNAcentral lists this non-coding RNA (81 nucleotides) under uncultured Lawsonibacter sp. RNAcentral describes it as "Cyclic di-GMP-I riboswitch". It matches the Rfam family "c-di-GMP-I riboswitch aptamer". From Rfam's summary of the family: GEMM was predicted in a large-scale screen for bacterial structured RNA regulatory elements. Genes associated with GEMM are involved in a diverse array of functions, including chemotaxis regulation, signal transduction, secretion and chitin. The record is from RNAcentral. Lineage: Bacteria; Bacillati; Bacillota; Clostridia; Eubacteriales; Oscillospiraceae.
UGAAACGGCAAACCGUCCGAAAGGGCGGGACGCAAAGCUAGGGGGCUAACGCGAAGCAACGCUAUGCCAGCCCGGCUGCCA